GAUAAACGCUGGCGGCGUGCAUAAAACAUGUAAGUCGAACGGGGUGAGGCCGCAAGGCCGAGCCCAGUGGCGGACGGCUGAGUAAUGCGUAGGUGACUUGCCCGAAAGUGGGGAAUAACGAUUCGAAAGAAUCGCUAAUACCGCAUGUGGUUGUGCGUAUAAUCGCGUGCAACUAAAGCUCGCAAGGGCGCUUUUGGAGAGGCCUGCGUCCGAUUAGCUAGUUGGUGGGGUAACGGCCUACCAAGGCUCCGAUCGGUAGCUGAUCUGAGAGGAUGAUCCGCCACACUGGAACUGAGACACGGUCCAGACACCUACGGGUGG
Molecule: ribosomal RNA, 321 nt
Filed under: uncultured Chloroflexota bacterium
Lineage: Bacteria; Bacillati; Chloroflexota
Description: bacterial SSU rRNA
Rfam family: Bacterial small subunit ribosomal RNA
Source: RNAcentral